GUGCCUAAUACAUGCAAGUCGAACGAGUUCUCGUUGAUGAUCGGUGCUUGCACCGAGAUUCAACAUGGAACGAGUGGCGGACGGGUGAGUAACACGUGGGUAACCUGCCCUUAAGUGGGGGAUAACAUUUGGAAACAGAUGCUAAUACCGCAUAGAUCCAAGAACCGCAUGGUUCUUGGCUGAAAGAUGGCGUAAGCUAUCGCUUUUGGAUGGACCCGCGGCGUAUUAGCUAGUUGGUGAGGUAAUGGCUCACCAAGGCGAUGAUACGUAGCCGAACUGAGAGGUUGAUCGGCCACAUUGGGACUGAGACACGGCCCAAACUCCUACGGGAGGCAGCAGUAGGGAAUCUUCCACAAUGGACGCAAGUCUGAUGGAGCAACGCCGCGUGAGUGAAGAAGGCUUUCGGGUCGUAAAACUCUGUUGUUGGAGAAGAAUGGUCGGCAGAGUAACUGUUGUCGGCGUGACGGUAUCCAACCAGAAAGCCACGGCUAACUACGUGCCAGCAGCCGCGGUAAUACGUAGGUGGCAAGCGUUAUCCGGAUUUAUUGGGCGUAAAGCGAGCGCAGGCGGUUUUUUAAGUCUGAUGUGAAAGCCCUCGGCUUAACCGAGGAAGCGCAUCGGAAACUGGGAAACUUGAGUGCAGAAGAGGACAGUGGAACUCCAUGUGUAGCGGUGAAAUGCGUAGAUAUAUGGAAGAACACCAGUGGCGAAGGCGGCUGUCUGGUCUGUAACUGACGCUGAGGCUCGAAAGCAUGGGUAGCGAACAGGAUUAGAUACCCUGGUAGUCCAUGCCGUAAACGAUGAAUGCUAGGUGUUGGAGGGUUUCCGCCCUUCAGUGCCGCAGCUAACGCAUUAAGCAUUCCGCCUGGGGAGUACGACCGCAAGGUUGAAACUCAAAGGAAUUGACGGGGGCCCGCACAAGCGGUGGAGCAUGUGGUUUAAUUCGAAGCAACGCGAAGAACCUUACCAGGUCUUGACAUCUUUUGAUCACCUGAGAGAUCAGGUUUCCCCUUCGGGGGCAAAAUGACAGGUGGUGCAUGGUUGUCGUCAGCUCGUGUCGUGAGAUGUUGGGUUAAGUCCCGCAACGAGCGCAACCCUUAUGACUAGUUGCCAGCAUUUAGUUGGGCACUCUAGUAAGACUGCCGGUGACAAACCGGAGGAAGGUGGGGAUGACGUCAAAUCAUCAUGCCCCUUAUGACCUGGGCUACACACGUGCUACAAUGGAUGGUACAACGAGUUGCGAGACCGCGAGGUCAAGCUAAUCUCUUAAAGCCAUUCUCAGUUCGGACUGUAGGCUGCAACUCGCCUACACGAAGUCGGAAUCGCUAGUAAUCGCGGAUCAGCACGCCGCGGUGAAUACGUUCCCGGGCCUUGUACACACCGCCCGUCACACCAUGAGAGUUUGUAACACCCGAAGCCGGUGGCGUAACCCUUUUAGGGAGCGAGCCGUCUAAGGUGGGACAAAUGAUUAGGGUGAAG
RNAcentral lists this ribosomal RNA (1479 nucleotides) under Lacticaseibacillus casei. Its description in RNAcentral is "bacterial SSU rRNA". It matches the Rfam family "Bacterial small subunit ribosomal RNA". Lineage: Bacteria; Bacillati; Bacillota; Bacilli; Lactobacillales; Lactobacillaceae. The record is from RNAcentral.